This 30-nucleotide non-coding RNA is filed under the name Mus musculus (house mouse). The record is from RNAcentral. Lineage: Eukaryota; Metazoa; Chordata; Mammalia; Rodentia; Muridae.
UAAAUGGAAAUAACCUUCUUCAAGUGCUGU